RNAcentral lists this ribosomal RNA (403 nucleotides) under uncultured bacterium. Its description in RNAcentral is "partial 16S ribosomal RNA". It matches the Rfam family "Bacterial small subunit ribosomal RNA", at positions 30 to 526 of the family's 1533-position model. The record is from RNAcentral.
AUUGAACGCUGGCGGCAGGCCUAACACAUGCAAGUCGAGCGAGCGGCGCACGGGUGAGAAUUGUAUAGGGACUGCCCGAUAGAGGGGGAUAAAUCAUGGAAACGGGAGAUAAUACCCCAUACGAUCGGAUAACCCCCAUGGGAUUGGAUAGUAGUGGUGGUAAUGGCUCACCUAGGCGCCGCUCCCUAGCUGGGCUGAGAGGAUGAUCAGCCUCACUGGGACUGAGACACGGCCCCGACUCCUACGGAGUCAGCAGUGGGGAAUAUUGCACAAUGGGCGCAAGCCUGAUGCAGCCAUGCCGCGUGUAUGAAGAAGGCCCUAGGGUUGUAAAGUACUUUCAGUCGGGAGGCGUUACCGACAGAAGAAGCACCGGCUAACUCCGUGCCAGCCGCCGCGGUAAUAC